Suricata suricatta (meerkat) is the source of this 395-nucleotide long non-coding RNA. RefSeq lists it as uncharacterized. NCBI's taxonomy places the organism in Eukaryota, Metazoa, Chordata, Mammalia, Carnivora, Herpestidae. The record is from RefSeq and is a predicted model, not a curated record. The transcript has 3 exons.
GGAUCGUCUCUAGGCGCUGUCUCUCCUGGAACACAGAAGAGGGGAAGGGAAUAAAUGAUCCCAGCCUUAAGACGAAUGCUAUUUCAGACAGUGAAAUGCAGUAUUCAAAGGCUUGUGCACAGGAAGUGUGGUCUACUGACUGCAUAUAUUAAAGAAAGCAUUGAAGAGGACACAAGAUCUUAAAAUAUAUACCUGAAGAUAAGCGUGUACAAUCCUUUCCCUCAGCAAUUAAAAAAAGAGGAGCAGACUGAACCUGUUUUGACCUCAGAGCUUUCUUUCUUUUUUCAGGUGAAUGUGUCUGACAGUGCCUCACUGCAGUCACAGCCCUCUUUCAGGGACUUCAUCCAUCUCCCAAGCCCAUCCAUAUCCCAGAACUAAUGGCAGCCAGCCUAGGC